Long non-coding RNA from Balaenoptera ricei (Rice's whale), 403 nucleotides. RefSeq lists it as uncharacterized. The transcript is spliced from 3 exons. The record is from RefSeq and is a predicted model, not a curated record. Lineage: Eukaryota; Metazoa; Chordata; Mammalia; Artiodactyla; Balaenopteridae.
GUCUUUUCUCACAUUUUAUUACAAGCAGCAAUUACAAGAAGAAACCAAGAAGGACUUUCAACAGUCCCUGGAAGUCUCCUUAGCUAGACCACACAGCUCAUUUGGCCAUGAGGCACAUGGGAUCCUAGCUCCCUGAUCAGGGAGGGAUUGAACCCACACCCCCUGCAUUGGAAGACGAAGUCUCAACCACUGGACCACUCAGGGAAGUCCCCUCCACCUCCCCCAUUACUGCAGCCCUCACUCUCAGCCUCUUCCAAGGGCAUCAGGACUUCAUGAAACACUCUUCAAGCCUCUUCACGCUUCCAAGGUCACUCUCCCCAGAGUCUUUCCAGGUUCUUCCCACUGCCUGUUCCCAAAGCCUCUCCCAUCCUUUGGGUUUUCGUUAUGGUGAUGCUCUACAUGC